Molecule: ribosomal RNA, 301 nt
Filed under: uncultured bacterium
Lineage: Bacteria
Description: partial 16S ribosomal RNA
Rfam family: Bacterial small subunit ribosomal RNA
Source: RNAcentral
CAGUCGCCGCGGUAAAACGUGGGUGGCAGGCGUUGUCCGGAAUUAUUGGGCGUAAAGGGCUCGCAGGCGGUUUCUUAAGUCUGAUGUGAAAGCCCCCGGCUCAACCGGGGAGGGUCAUUGGAAACUGGGAAACUUGAGUGCAGAAGAGGAGAGUGGAAUUCCACGUGUAGCGGUGAAAUGCGUAGAGAUGUGGAGGAACACCAGUGGCGAAGGCGACUCUCUGGUCUGUAACUGACGCUGAGGAGCGAAAGCGUGGGGAGCGAACAGGAUUAGAUACCCCAGUAGUCCCUGUCUCUUAUAC